Molecule: ribosomal RNA, 253 nt
Filed under: uncultured bacterium
Lineage: Bacteria
Description: partial 16S ribosomal RNA
Rfam family: Bacterial small subunit ribosomal RNA
Source: RNAcentral
UACGGAGGGGGCAAGCGUUAUCCGGAUUCACUGGGUUUAAAGGGCUCGUAGGCGGCCAACUAAGUCCGACGUGAAAUCCCAAGGCUUAACCUUGGAACUGCGUCGGAUACUGGAUGGCUUGAAUUCGGGAGAGGGAUGCAGAAUUCCAGGUGUAGCGGUGAAAUGCGUAGAUAUCUGGAGGAAUACCGGUGGCGAAGGCGGCAUCCUGGACCAACACUGACACUGAGGAGCGAAAGCCAGGGGAGCAAACGGG